UCGCUGGACUCUUCAUCUGGAGGAGGAACAAUAACGGGUUUCGCCCUGCUAACAGGGGGCAGUGAACAUAGAAGAGAAUGCUGAACUCCACAACUUAUCGUCUCAGAGAACUUUACAAUCUGAAAAGCAUAUAUUUCAUUAUUAUUGUUGUUGUUAUUAUUAUUUUUAUUUUCCUGGAAGUGAGAUCAAAAAUCUAUUUUACAAGGGAGACCUUAAUUCUUAAUUCUUAAGUAAAAGUAUCAAUAAAAAAUACUCCAAAUGAAGUAAAAGCUUUCAGUGUAUGUGUUUUUGUAUGUAAAAUCUUAAUCUGAAAGCUAACUAUAGUUGUAAAUAACUGAUGGAGUAAAAUGUAUAUUAAGUAUAAAUUAGCAAAAAAUGGAAAUACUCAUGUAAAGUAUAUGAACCUCAAAACUGGAUUUAAGUACUUGAGUAAAUGUAAUAAAUUGCUUUCCACCUUUGUACAACAAAA
Molecule: long non-coding RNA, 469 nt
Organism: Sebastes umbrosus (honeycomb rockfish)
Lineage: Eukaryota; Metazoa; Chordata; Actinopteri; Perciformes; Sebastidae
Exons: 3
Source: RefSeq, a predicted model, not a curated record